Bubalus bubalis (water buffalo) is the source of this 668-nucleotide long non-coding RNA. RefSeq lists it as uncharacterized. NCBI's taxonomy places the organism in Eukaryota, Metazoa, Chordata, Mammalia, Artiodactyla, Bovidae. The record is from RefSeq and is a predicted model, not a curated record. The transcript has 3 exons.
CUGAAGAACAUGGUUUCUCUCUUGAGAAGCAUCAGCGCAUCAAAACUUUGGCUUCUGGAGCUGAGGCGAAUAAUCUGUCAGCAGGGAUACCAUGACAGCCUGGAAUGACACACAGAGAAAGAGAAAGAAAGAAAUGGAUGAGAAACUCAAGCCUGGAAACAACACAGAACUGGGUUUGGACCCAAGUUUCUCUGACUCCACUGUUAAGAGGUAGUUUUACUGCGUUUCAGUGCCUGGAAGAGAGCCUGGCACACAGUAGAUGCUCAGUAUAUGGUUGCUGAAAUGAACUUAACUCUGGGACGUCCACAUCAUCCGGUUUGGAGACAUAAAGAGGACAGCGUGUGUGUCACCAACCCCCUUCCAGAAUCCAUGUCGGGUAUCACUAGUCAGUUAUGUCACUCUUUCCUUCCGAGACCACAGGCAGGCUUAGAAGCUUCUGAACGUAGGACUCCAUGUAGCCCGCUGAUGAGAUUGAGGACCUAAGAUUAAAAGUCAUUUGCCAUCUAGAUAGCUCAACCUACUUAUUUUAUGUGGAAGGAAACUGAGACCCAGAGAGGUCACACUUAGCCAAAAUGAUGUGGCUGACUAGUAUCAAAGACAGUUACAGAAUUCAAGUCUUCUCACUCCCAGUCAAGCAUUCUUUCUAUUUUAGAUUCUUUACUUUCAUU